Molecule: long non-coding RNA, 574 nt
Filed under: Salmo salar (Atlantic salmon)
Lineage: Eukaryota; Metazoa; Chordata; Actinopteri; Salmoniformes; Salmonidae
Description: lncRNA (ENSSSAG00000084720.1)
Source: RNAcentral
UGAAAUUCUAAUGGAAAUGUUUCACAAUGAUGUCAUUAGGCAGAGCAGGCAACAGAUGGCACACAGACAGCAGAGUUGGGGACAGAUAUGCAGGGACAGACUGGCAGAGACAGGGAGUCUCAGGUCCCUAGUGGAAUGACAACAACAUGGCUGCUUGUUAAAGAAGAGAUGGAGAGAGAGACAGAGAUAACCAUAUACAUUGCACAUGGACCGUAAGAAAUCCUGAAGUAGGCCUAACCCUCACCAAUUAUUCUGGUGAUGGAGAGAGACACCAGACAAGACACAGAGACAGCAACAGAAGAGUAGGAUAUGAUGGAGAGAGAUACCAGACAUGACACAGAGACAGCAACAGAAGAAUAGGAUAUGAUGGAGAGAGACACCAGACAAGACACAGAGACAGCAACAGAAGAAUAGGAUAUGAUGGAGAGACACCAGACAAGACACAGAGACAGCAACAGAAGAAUAGGAUAUGAUGGAGAGAGACACCAGACAAGACACAGAGACAGCAACAGAAGAAUAGGAUAUGAUGGAGAGAGACACCAGACAAGACACAGAGACAGCAACAGAAGAAUAG